RNAcentral lists this ribosomal RNA (496 nucleotides) under uncultured bacterium. RNAcentral describes it as "partial 16S ribosomal RNA". It matches the Rfam family "Bacterial small subunit ribosomal RNA", at positions 28 to 506 of the family's 1533-position model. The record is from RNAcentral.
GAUGAACGCUGGCGGCGUGCCUAAUACAUGCAAGUCGAGCGAACAGACGAGGAGCUUGCUCCUCUGACGUUAGCGGCGGACGGGUGAGUAACACGUGGAUAACCUACCUAUAAGACUGGGAUAACUUCGGGAAACCGGAGCUAAUACCGGAUAAUAUAUUGAACCGCAUGGUUCAAUAGUGAAAGACGGUUUUGCUGUCACUUAUAGAUGGAUCCGCGCCGCAGUAGCUAGUUGGUAAGGUAACGGCUUACCAAGGCAACGAUGCGUAGCCGACCUGAGAGGGGGAUCGGCCACACUGGAGCUGAGACACGGUCCAGACUCCUACGGGAGGCAGCAGUAGGGAAUCUUCCGCAAUGGGCGAAAGCCUGACGGAGCAACGCCGCGUGAGUGAUGAAGGUCUUCGGAUCGUAAAACUCUGUUAUUAGGGAAGAACAAAUGUGUAAGUAACGAUGCACGUCUUGACGGUACCUAAUCAGAAAGCCACGGCUAACUACGU